This 396-nucleotide ribosomal RNA is filed under the name Triticum aestivum (bread wheat). RNAcentral's name for it is "partial small subunit ribosomal RNA". The record is from RNAcentral. Lineage: Eukaryota; Viridiplantae; Streptophyta; Magnoliopsida; Poales; Poaceae.
AUGGCGGCAAUGAGUGCGGAAGGCCAGAUCUGUGCGGCUGAUGGCGUGAUCGAUACUGAAAUCGAUGGUUUACUGCAAGCAUCCGAGCAGUCGAUUACUCGAUUUGUUAGAUCGACCCAAAAGCCCCAGCAUGGACUCGAAGCUGAUGGCAUAUCUGGUCUUGCGUGCACAGUGAGGAUCGGUGCUGCCGCACCAGGAAGGUCACCUUGUCGUAAUCGCACUAGUGCACUGGAGAAGGCAAUUCAUGGUUUUGCGGAAAAUCCAGGAGAUGAUGUGAUUGUCCCUGCACUAGGAACAAGCUUUGAUUGUUUGAGUGAAGCCUUCGACUAUUGCCAUUGGACUUCGAUUCUUUUGGAUGAAGCAUACGACUUUUACAAGCUUCGAUUCUUUGACUAA